Molecule: long non-coding RNA, 942 nt
Filed under: Homo sapiens (human)
Lineage: Eukaryota; Metazoa; Chordata; Mammalia; Primates; Hominidae
Description: HSALNT0191431
Source: RNAcentral
CAAAAUUAGGCAUAGACUGAUCUGGAUAGAGACAUUUCUUCAUAAAUCACCUUAAGAAAUAUAUUUAAAGAAUCUUAAAGUCUACAUGGAGAGAAAGAGAGGAAUUAUCACUGAGAAAAUUAAAAUAGAAGAAGCUUGCCAGGUUUCCAGGGUUUCCAAAAGAGUAAUAUGAACAUCCGGCUUGCAAGACUAUAGAUGAAGAAUUUGCAGCUAUUUCUUCAAAAACAGAACAGCCAUGCAAGAUAGAAAUAUAACCCUACAGGAGGGGGCACACAAGAAGGAAGACAUCUAAUCUCCUGAUCUGUCUGGACUGACUUAUCUCUGGGACCUCCUGCCAUUUUUUCUCUCCAACCAAGCUACUGCUGCAGAGAUCAACUUUGUGUGGGUUCAGAACAAUUUUACACAGGGACACGCGAACAACUGUAUUCAUGUUUGAAACAAACCAUGAAGUUUCAAGCCUUCACUGAGUGCUUUUUGCCUCACACUCCAUGGCUUCCCUUUUGUAAUUGAAGCACGACAUGUCACAGGAAAUGAUUGUUGCCUCUGAAGUGCAACCAAGAAUGUGGGGAAGGUUAGGCCCAUCCUUAGAGGACAAGAGUACAAAUGGAUGCGUCAUUCCACACAUCUAAAGGUACUAAAUACUAAGAACUGAAAAUUAACCUAACAAGCUCUUAAAUAUGUUCCAUCAUCCUACCUUAAUAACAAUGUGAAGGACAAUUUGAAAUAAAAAUGUUCAGACUCUUUGUUGUUUUGUACAUGUAUCAGUUACCUAUUGCUUUGUAACAAAUUAGUUCAAAAUUUGGAAAUGUGUCAAAGAAUUUCUAGAUUUCUGAAUUUUAAGCCACCACAGCAUAAAAACAUAUUACACUGUCCAGGGCUUAUGAGCCCACUUGCAUUCCCUCUCUACCAUUGAUUAGCUCAGCAGCUUUGCACUGUGAGUGG